Molecule: ribosomal RNA, 270 nt
Filed under: uncultured archaeon
Lineage: Archaea
Description: partial 16S ribosomal RNA
Rfam family: Archaeal small subunit ribosomal RNA
Source: RNAcentral
CGGCCCCUCGAGUGGUGGGGAUGAUUAUUUGGCCUAAAGCGUCCGUAGCCGGCCGUGUAAGUCCCCCGUUAAAUCCAGCGUCUCAAGCGUUGGACUGCGGGAGAUACUGCUCGGCUAGAGAGUGGGAGAGGUGUGCGGUAUUCUGGGGGUAGGGGCGAAAUCCUUUGAUCCCCGGAGGACCACCAGUGGCGAAGGCUGCACACUAGAACACGUCUGACGGUCAGGGACGAAAGCUGGGGUAGCGAACCGGAUUAGAUACCCGAGUAGUCC